CAUUGGGAGUGAGACACGGCCCAGACUCCUACGGGAGGCAGCAGUGGGGAAUUUUGGACAAUGGGGGCAACCCUGAUCCAGCAAUGCCGCGUGUGUGAAGAAGGCCUUCGGGUUGUAAAGCACUUUUGUCCGGAAAGAAAUCGCGCUGGCUAAUACCUGGCGUGGAUGACGGUACCGGAAGAAUAAGCACCGGCUAACUACGUGCCAGCAGCCGCGGUAAUACGUAGGGUGCGAGCGUUAAUCGGAAUUACUGGGCGUAAAGCGUGCGCAGGCGGUUUUGUAAGACAGGCGUGAAAUCCCCGGGCUUAACCUGGGAAUGGCGCUUGUGACUGCAAGGCUAGAGUGCGUCAGAGGGGGGUAGAAUUCCACGUGUAGCAGUGAAAUGCGUAGAGAUGUGGAGGAAUACCGAUGGCGAAGGCAGCCCCCUGGGACGAGACUGACGCUCAUGCACGAAAGCGUGGGGAGCAAACAGGAUUAGAUACCCUGGUAGUCCACGCCCUAAACGAUGUCAACUAGUUGUUGGGGAUUCAUUUCCUCAGUAACGUAGCUAACGCGUGAAGUUGACCGCCUGGGGAGUACGGUCGCAAGAUUAAAACUCAAAGGAAUUGACGGG
This 613-nucleotide ribosomal RNA is filed under the name uncultured bacterium. RNAcentral describes it as "bacterial SSU rRNA". It matches the Rfam family "Bacterial small subunit ribosomal RNA", at positions 311 to 917 of the family's 1533-position model. The record is from RNAcentral.